UACAGAGGGGGCAAGCGUUGUUCGGAAUUACUGGGCGUAAAGGGCGCGUAGGCGGCCUGCUAAGUCGAACGUGAAAUCCCUGGGCUCAACCCAGGAACUGCGUCCGAUACUGGCUGGCUUGAAUUCGGGAGAGGGAUGCGGAAUUCCAGGUGUAGCGGUGAAAUGCGCAGAUAUCAGGAAGAACACCAAUGGCGAAGGCAGCUCUCUGGGACGGUACUGACGCUGAGACGCGAAAGCGUGGGGAGCGAACAGG
RNAcentral lists this ribosomal RNA (253 nucleotides) under uncultured bacterium. Its description in RNAcentral is "partial 16S ribosomal RNA". It matches the Rfam family "Bacterial small subunit ribosomal RNA", at positions 524 to 776 of the family's 1533-position model. The record is from RNAcentral.